CCAGCACCCCGAGUGGUCGGGACGAUUAUUGGGCCUAAAGCAUCCGUAGCCGGCCUUACAAGUCCUCCGUUAAAUCCAGCUGCUUAACAGAUGGGCCGCGGAGGAUACUAUAAGACUAGGAGGCAGGAGAGGCAAGCGGUACUCAGUGGGUAGGGGUAAAAUCCGUUGAUCCAUUGAAGACCACCAGUGGCGAAGGCGGCUUGCCAGAAUGCGCUCGACGGUGAGGGAUGAAAGCUGGGGGAGCAAACCGGAUUAGAUACCCGGGUAGUCCCAGCUGUAAACGAUGCAGACUCGGUGAUGGACCAGCUUAAUGCUAGUCCAGUGCCGCAGGGAAGCCGUUAAGUCUGCCGCCUGGGUAGUACGGUCGCAAGACUG
This 375-nucleotide ribosomal RNA is filed under the name uncultured organism. RNAcentral describes it as "bacterial SSU rRNA". It matches the Rfam family "Archaeal small subunit ribosomal RNA", at positions 476 to 851 of the family's 1478-position model. The record is from RNAcentral.